CAGGAACUGAUUCCUCCCAAAGGUUGAACUAGUGUGUUUCCAUAGAUUACCUCUGUAUGAAUGUACUUCUUAAAUGAAGGCAAGUGUUUGUCCUGUUUUGUUCCUCAGGUACAGUACGUGAUAUCAAGGGCAGGCGGUCAACACUGGGGGUAGACAAGAAGCAGACGUACUUCCAAGAGGGAGCUGCAGUGAGGUCAGAGGAGGCGCUGGAAGGUUUCCCUAAUAGUUCCUGGUGAAUCAAAGCAGAACCAUAAAGGUUGCUGGACUGCAUGAUGGCCUUACCCCUGAGCAGUCAUCCUGUUACAGGAGGAACCAGUUAGAAGCUGUUUUCAAAGUAGCUGAGCAGAUUUCAUCUCAAACAAAGCUGAUGGCAGAAGAUGUCAGAGAAGAACUUCAGGC
Maylandia zebra (zebra mbuna) is the source of this 399-nucleotide long non-coding RNA. RefSeq lists it as uncharacterized. Lineage: Eukaryota; Metazoa; Chordata; Actinopteri; Cichliformes; Cichlidae. The record is from RefSeq and is a predicted model, not a curated record.